GACGAACGCUGGCGGCGUGCUUAACACAUGCAAGUCGAACGGAAAGGCCCUUCGGGGUCCUCGAGUGGCGAACGGGUGAGUAACACGUGGGUGAUCUGCCCUGCACUUUGGGAUAAGCCUGGGAAACUGGGUCUAAUACCGAAUAGGACCACGCGCUUCAUGGUGUGUGGUGGAAAGCUUUUGCGGUGUGGGAUGGGCCCGCGGCCUAUCAGCCUGUUGGUGGGGUAAUGGCCUACCAAGGCGACGACGGGUAGCCGGCCUGAGAGGGUGACCGGCCACACUGGGACUGAGAUACGGCCCAGACUCCUACGGGAGGCAGCAGUGGGGAAUAUUGCACAAUGGGCGCAAGCCUGAUGCAGCGACGCCGCGUGAGGGAUGACGGCCUUCGGGUUGUAAACCUCUUUCACCAGGGACGAAGCGUAAGUGACGGUACCUGGAGAAGAAGCACCGGCCAACUACGUG
This 462-nucleotide ribosomal RNA is filed under the name uncultured bacterium. RNAcentral's name for it is "partial 16S ribosomal RNA". It matches the Rfam family "Bacterial small subunit ribosomal RNA", at positions 28 to 507 of the family's 1533-position model. The record is from RNAcentral.